Molecule: ribosomal RNA, 253 nt
Filed under: uncultured bacterium
Lineage: Bacteria
Description: partial 16S ribosomal RNA
Rfam family: Bacterial small subunit ribosomal RNA
Source: RNAcentral
UACAGAGGUGGCAAGCGUUGUUCGGAAUUACUGGGCGUAAAGGGUGCGUAGGCGGUUCGUUAAGUCCUGUGUGAAAUCCCCCGGCUCAACUGGGGAACUGCACAGGAAACUAGCGGGCUUGAGUUCGGGAGAGGGAAGUGGAAUUCCGGGUGUAGCGGUGAAAUGCGUAGAUAUCCGGAGGAACACCGGUGGCGAAGGCGGCUUCCUGGACCGACACUGACGCUGAGGCGCGAAAGCUAGGGGAGCAAACAGG